AGUGAACGCUGGCGGUAGGCCUAAUACAUGCAAGUCGAGCGACAGCACAGGAAGCGUUUGCUCUUACGGGUGGCGAGUGGCGGACGGGUGAGGAAUACAUCACAAUCUACUUUGUCUUGGGGGAUAACGUAGGGAAACUUACGCUAACACCUCAUACGACCUACGGCUUGAAUCAGGAGAUCUUCGCACCUUUCCCGAUUCAAUGAGCCGAUGUCGGAUUAGCUAGUUGGCGGGGUAAAGGCCCACCAAGGCGACGAUCCGUAGCUGGUCUGAGAGGAUGAUCAGCCACACUGGAACUGAGACACGGUCCAGACUCCUACGGGAGGCAGCAGUGGGGAAUCUUGCACAAUGGGCGAAAGCCUGAUCGAGCAACACCGCGUGAGUGAUGAAGGUCUUCGGGUUGUAAAGCUCUUUUGUUGGGAAAGAAAAAAAGUAUGUGAAUCUAUGGAUGUUUUGACGGUACCCAAAGAAUAAGCCACGGCUAACUUCGUG
Molecule: ribosomal RNA, 492 nt
Filed under: uncultured bacterium
Lineage: Bacteria
Description: partial 16S ribosomal RNA
Rfam family: Bacterial small subunit ribosomal RNA
Source: RNAcentral